CGCAGUAGCAAUACUGAGUGGCAAACGAGUGAGUAUAAUGUGGGAAUCUGCCUUUUGGUUUGGAAUAACACGGGGAAACUUGUGCUAAUACCGAAUAAGCCCUUACGGGGAAAGUUUUAACGCCGAAAGAUGAGCCCGCACUUGAUUAGCUAGUUGGUAAGGUAAAAGCCUACCAAGGCAAUGAUCAAUAGCUGUUCUUAGAGGAAGACCAGCCACAUUGGGACUGAGACACGGCCCAGACUC
Molecule: ribosomal RNA, 243 nt
Filed under: uncultured Alphaproteobacteria bacterium
Lineage: Bacteria; Pseudomonadati; Pseudomonadota; Alphaproteobacteria
Description: partial 16S ribosomal RNA
Rfam family: Bacterial small subunit ribosomal RNA
Source: RNAcentral